GACGAACGCUGGCGGCGUGCUUAACACAUGCAAGUCGAACGGUAAGGCCCUUCGGGGUACACGAGUGGCGAACGGGUGAGUAACACGUGGGUGAUCUACCCUGCACUUCGGGAUAAGCCUGGGAAACUGGGUCUAAUACCGGAUAGGACCACUGCCUGCAUGGGUGGUGGUGGAAAGCUUUUGCGGUGUGGGAUGGGCCCGCGGCCUAUCAGCUUGUUGGUGGGGUGAUGGCCUACCAAGGCGACGACGGGUAGCCGGCCUGAGAGGGUGAUCGGCCACACUGGGACUGAGAUACGGCCCAGACUCCUACGGGAGGCAGCAGUGGGGAAUAUUGCACAAUGGGCGCAGGCCUGAUGCAGCGACGCCGCGUGAGGGAUGACGGCCUUCGGGUUGUAAACCUCUUUCAGCACCGACGAAGCGCAAGUGACGGUAGGUGCAGAAGAAGGACCGGCCAACUACGUGCCAGCCGCCGCGGUAA
Molecule: ribosomal RNA, 478 nt
Filed under: uncultured bacterium
Lineage: Bacteria
Description: partial 16S ribosomal RNA
Rfam family: Bacterial small subunit ribosomal RNA
Source: RNAcentral